UCGGGGAUCGUCUAAUGGUAGGACUUUGGGUUCUGGUCCCAACUAUCGGGGUUCAAAUCCCUGUCCCCGAGCCC
Molecule: transfer RNA, 74 nt
Filed under: Candidatus Magasanikiibacteriota bacterium
Lineage: Bacteria; Candidatus Magasanikiibacteriota
Description: Candidatus Magasanikbacteria bacterium tRNA-Gln
Rfam family: tRNA
About the family: Transfer RNA (tRNA) molecules are approximately 80 nucleotides in length.
Source: RNAcentral